CCCUUAGAUGUUCUGGGCCGCACGCGCGCUACACUGUUCGACGCAGCGAGUCUUAACCUUGACCGAAAGGUUUGGGUAAUCUUCAGCAAAGUCGAACGUGAUGGGGAUCGAUCAUUGCAAUUAUUGAUCGUGAACGAGGAAUUCCUAGUAAGUGCAAGUCAUCAGCUUGCGCUGAUUACGUCCCUGCCCUUUGUACACACCGCCCGUCGCUACUACCGAUUGAAUGGUUUAGUGAGAUCUCUGGAUUGACGCUGGCUAGGGGCGACCCUUGGCCAGACUGCUCGAGAAACUGCUCAAACUUGAUCAUUUAGAGGAAGUAAAAGUCGUAACA
Molecule: ribosomal RNA, 331 nt
Filed under: uncultured eukaryote
Lineage: Eukaryota
Description: partial 18S ribosomal RNA
Rfam family: Eukaryotic small subunit ribosomal RNA
Source: RNAcentral